Molecule: long non-coding RNA, 1127 nt
Organism: Brienomyrus brachyistius
Lineage: Eukaryota; Metazoa; Chordata; Actinopteri; Osteoglossiformes; Mormyridae
Exons: 5
Source: RefSeq, a predicted model, not a curated record
ACAGGAAAAAUGUCAUCUCCACAGGAAAUAUGUCAUCUCCACAGGAAACACGUGAUCUUUAAGAACGUAAAGUGGGGCUAAUCUUUACGACGUAAAGUGGGGGUCCACAGGAAACAUGCGAUCUACACUGUGUUUGUACCAAGAGAGAGUCUGGACUAAGUCUUCGAACCUGAAUUGCCAUUACAUUAAAAGGAACAUUGUUUUAUAAACCAAAUUGUAAACAUGGAUCCCCGUUUAAAAGCGGCUUUGCUUUUUCAAGACAAAAUUAUACGGCGGUGCACACUACCAUGCUGGGACAAGGUACAUUGUCACCCGGACUUGGCUUCCUCCCUACAACUGUGAGCCACUUCAAUCCCUUUCUGGGUUUCCAAGACAAGACUUUGAGGUUGACUGUGGCAUCUACAUGUUGAUGGUAAGAUUCGUCAUUCAGAUAUUUUUGGACUGUCAAGAUGCUUUUGAGAAUAAGUCAUGAACAUUGACAUUUAUUUUUUAAUUGACAGUCUGCUUUAUAUGUGGUGCUGGAUGCUCCCUUUUAUUACACCAUAGUAAGUAGCUCUUUUUAGAGAGCAAUAAAGUAUGUGUGCAAAGAAGUCACUAAAUGACACUAAAUUGAUUUUUAAUAGUUAGACAUGCCGAAAUUGCGGAAAUGGUGGUGCCUGCUGCUAAUGGAAAACUUUGAUCUCCGAAGGUCAGUGUGUGUGUAUCUGUUAAGUUUGACUGAAAAAUGAAAUUAAAGACACAUUAUUAAUAUCAGUAUUUCUCCAUUAUAAGUUAUGGGAAGGUAUUUGCACACUGGACAAAGGAAUCAGAGGCUGUGCUGAGAGGUGAACAUGCACCUGUAUUCAGACUAAGAAAGCGCAAAUCUGUGGAACUUAGCCUGAAACCAGCAGAAGGGAUGUGCUGGAUGGAGACAACAUAGAAUCCAAGGAGCCAUUCCUCUUUGGUUUUCAGGUCCAAGAGGACAUGGAAUUAUUUUUACAGGCCUGUGUUGACCAGCGGGGCCUUCGGAUUAAUGCUGUCUGUUAUAAGAAUGAUUAAAUUACUGGCACAUGAGUGUGUUGAUUAUUAUUUUUUUUAUUUCAUCCUGUUUGUUGUUGCCUUCUAAAUAAAUUUAACAGUUUAUUAAA